RNAcentral lists this ribosomal RNA (506 nucleotides) under uncultured bacterium. RNAcentral's name for it is "partial 16S ribosomal RNA". It matches the Rfam family "Bacterial small subunit ribosomal RNA", at positions 28 to 507 of the family's 1533-position model. The record is from RNAcentral.
GAUGAACGCUGGCGGCGUGCUUAACACAUGCAAGUCGAACGAAGCAUUUGCGACAGAUUUUUUCGGAAUGAAGUUGCUUAUGACUGAGUGGCGGACGGGUGAGUAACGCGUGGGUAACCUGCCUUGUACUGGGGGAUAGCAGCUGGAAACGGCUGGUAAUACCGCAUAAGCGCACAAUGUUGCAUGACAUGGUGUGAAAAACUCCGGUGGUAUAAGAUGGACCCGCGUCUGAUUAGCUAGUUGGUGAGAUAACAGCCCACCAAGGCGACGAUCUGUAGCCGCUCCCAAAGGGCGACCAGCGACACUGGGCGUGAGGCGCGGCCCGGACUCCUGGGGGAGGCACCAGUCCGGAACUUUGGAGGAUGGGCGAAGGGGGGAUACAUCAAAACCGGGUGAAUGAUGAAGGCCGCCGGGUCGUAGAGGACAAUAGGUGAGUACGAAAAGAACUGUGCAAACACCGGGAAUAGAUGACGGUACCCGCAGAAAAAGCCCCGGCUAAAUACGUG